GGAAGGUGCAAGCGUUAAUCGGAAUUACUGGGGCGUAAAGCGCGCGUAGGCGGCUAGAUUAGUCGGGUGUGAAAGCCCUGGGGCUCAACCUGGGGAACUGCAUUCGAUACUGUCUAGCUAGAGUCUGGUAGAGGGAGGCGGAGUUCCGCAUGUAGCGGUGAAAUGCGUAGAGAUGCGGAGGAACACCAAUGGCGAAGGCAGCCUCCUGGACUAACACUGACGCUGAGGCGCGAAAGCGUGGGGAGCAAACAGGAUUAGAUACCCUGGUAGUCCACGCCGUAAACGAUGUCAACUAGCCGUUGGGAGCAUUUUGGCUCUUGGUGGCGCAGCUAACGCGAUAAGUUGACCGCCUGGGGAGUACGGUCGCAAGAUUA
This 374-nucleotide ribosomal RNA is filed under the name uncultured organism. Its description in RNAcentral is "partial 16S ribosomal RNA". It matches the Rfam family "Bacterial small subunit ribosomal RNA", at positions 527 to 896 of the family's 1533-position model. The record is from RNAcentral.